CAGAGAUAUCAACACACUUCCCAAAGAAGGGCCAGCAAGAAAUGUGCAUGUCUGCACAGUGCAGAUGAACCCAAUCAAUCUCUGGCUGUGCCUGACCUACAUGUGACACUUCUGAGCAGAUGUGCAUCGGGAUAUAACAGAUGAGAGAAUGCCAGCCUCUGCCAAAAGGACUCCACACAUAUUGGGAGGGAUGAAUACCAAUAAAUCAGGAUCAGAUGGGAUUCAUUGUACAGCUUUUUCAGAGUAGAGAAACAGUUGAAUUAUUUUAUCUAUUAAAUGAAUCGAUAAAAGAUUUAA
Pseudopipra pipra is the source of this 297-nucleotide long non-coding RNA. RefSeq lists it as uncharacterized. Lineage: Eukaryota; Metazoa; Chordata; Aves; Passeriformes; Pipridae. The transcript is spliced from 2 exons. The record is from RefSeq and is a predicted model, not a curated record.